Molecule: ribosomal RNA, 431 nt
Filed under: uncultured bacterium
Lineage: Bacteria
Description: bacterial SSU rRNA
Rfam family: Bacterial small subunit ribosomal RNA
Source: RNAcentral
GGNGAACGGGUGAGUAACGCGUGGGUCAUCUACCUUCGAGUGGGGAAUAACAGCGGGAAACUGCUGCUAAUACCGCAUGACAUCGCCGGGCCUUUGGCCUGGCGAUCAAAGCCGGGGACCGCAAGGCCUGGCGCUUGAAGAGGAGCCCGCGUCCGAUUAGCUAGUUGGCGGGGUAACGGCCCACCAAGGCGACGAUCGGUAGCCGGCCUGAUAGGGCGGACGGCCACACUGGGACUGAUACACGGNCCAGACUCCUACGGGAGGCAGCAGUGGGGAAUUUUUCGCAAUGGGGGAAACCCUGACUAAGCAACGCCGCGUGGAGGAUGAANGCCUUCGGGUCGUAAACUCCUGUCNAUCGGGACGAACGUGGUCCGGCCCAAUACGCCCGGCUAUCGACUGUACCGGUAAAGGAAGCUCCGGCUAACUCUGUG